This 427-nucleotide ribosomal RNA is filed under the name uncultured bacterium. RNAcentral describes it as "bacterial SSU rRNA". It matches the Rfam family "Bacterial small subunit ribosomal RNA", at positions 355 to 775 of the family's 1533-position model. The record is from RNAcentral.
UCGAGAAUUUUUCACAAUGGGGGAAACCCUGAUGGAGCGACGCCGCGUGGGGGAUGAAGGGCUUCGGUCCGUAAACCCCUGUCAUUUGCGAACAAACCUUGUUCAAUAACACUGGACAGGCUGAUUGUAGCGAAAGAGGAAGGGACGGCUAACUCUGUGCCAGCAGCCGCGGUAAUACAGAGGUCCCAAGCGUUGUUCGGAUUCACUGGGCGUAAAGGGUGCGUAGGUGGUUGGGCAAGUCUGAUGUGAAAUCUCCGGGCUUAACCCGGAAAUGGCAUUGGAAACUGCCCGGCUAGAGUGUUGGAGGGGGGACUGGAAUUCUCGGUGUAGCAGUGAAAUGCGUAGAUAUCGAGAGGAACACCAGUGGCGAAGGCGAGUCCCUGGACAACUACUGACACUGAGGCACGAAAGCUAGGGGAGCAAACAG